CUCAUGCUUGGGGGAAGGGAUACCUACACUCUGGGAAUUGCUAUAAUCACUUACUCCCCAGAGUAAGCUCUUGUAAGAGCUUGAUUUGUUUCUGCUACGCUCUCUGGAUUAAGGAGGGGUUACUGCUGGAGAGGGUAGGGGUUACUGCUACUUAAGGAGAGGUUCACCCACUGGGAGCUGGAUACUGGUCGUGGAUCCAGGGUGGGUGAGAGACGUUGAGAGACGGCGAGACCCCGGCGCAGCUGCAUCGCUGGAAGUGGGGUCCGCAGUGCUGAU
Pelobates cultripes (western spadefoot toad) is the source of this 276-nucleotide non-coding RNA. Lineage: Eukaryota; Metazoa; Chordata; Amphibia; Anura; Pelobatidae. The record is from the annotation of a GenBank genome assembly.